AGUGAACGCUGGCGGUAGGCCUAACACAUGCAAGUCGAACGGCAGCACAGUAAGAGCUUGCUCUUACGGGUGGCGAGUGGCGGACGGGUGAGGAAUACAUCGGAAUCUAAUUUUUCGUGGGGGAUAACGUAGGGAAACUUACGCUAAUACCGCAUACGACCUACGGGUGAAAGCAGGGGAUCUUCGGACCUUGCGCGAUUGAAUGAGCCGAUGUCGGAUUAGCUAGUUGGCGGGGUAAAGGCCCACCAAGGCAACGAUCCGUAGCUGGUCUGAGAGGAUGAUCAGCCACACUGGAACUGAGACACGGUCCAGACUCCUACGGGAGGCAGCAGUGGGGAAUAUUGGACAAUGGGCGCAAGCCUGAUCCAGCCAUACCGCGUGGGUGAAGAAGGCCUUCGGGUUGUAAAGCCCUUUUGUUGGGAAAGAAAAGCAGCAGGUUAAUACCCCGCUGUUCUGACGGUACCCAAAGAAUAAGCACCGGCUAACUUCGUG
RNAcentral lists this ribosomal RNA (492 nucleotides) under uncultured bacterium. RNAcentral describes it as "partial 16S ribosomal RNA". It matches the Rfam family "Bacterial small subunit ribosomal RNA", at positions 29 to 507 of the family's 1533-position model. The record is from RNAcentral.